UGCCGGUUACUUCGCAAUUGUUCUCUGUGAACCCCGCCAGGACCGGAAGGUAGCAACGGUAACAGAAUAGCGAUGUGCCGAAGUCUUGCUGGUAGGG
Molecule: signal recognition particle RNA, 97 nt
Filed under: Acinetobacter portensis
Lineage: Bacteria; Pseudomonadati; Pseudomonadota; Gammaproteobacteria; Moraxellales; Moraxellaceae
Description: signal recognition particle sRNA small type
Rfam family: Bacterial small signal recognition particle RNA
About the family: The signal recognition particle (SRP) is a universally conserved ribonucleoprotein involved in the co-translational targeting of proteins to membranes. Archaeal SRP consists of a 7S RNA and homologues of the eukaryotic SRP19 and SRP54 proteins. In most bacteria, the SRP consists of a 4.5S RNA and the Ffh protein (a homologue of the eukaryotic SRP54 protein).
Source: RNAcentral